Molecule: unclassified non-coding RNA, 3623 nt
Filed under: Hevea brasiliensis (rubber tree)
Lineage: Eukaryota; Viridiplantae; Streptophyta; Magnoliopsida; Malpighiales; Euphorbiaceae
Source: RNAcentral
AAAAAGAACCAAAGAAGCAUCACACUAUAAAUGAAGCACAGUUGGAAUUAGCUUAUCAUUACAUAAAUGAUUCUUCCAAAAUUUUUUAAAACAAAUUAAAAGGUCAAUAGAUUAGAAAAAGAAACGGUUGACUAAUUAAUCCAUGAUCUUAAAAAUUCUAAGAGAAAUCAUAAUAAAACCAAAACGCAAUGAAAAUGUACACAUAAGAUCUAUUUAUUGAUCAAUAAUAUUUUCUGCCAGAUUGUCAAAAUAUAAUCCUAGAGAAUAAGCAAGCGUAAAUGCUACCAAGGCAGCGAAGAUAUCAAUAUAACUCUAGAACCAACAAUUGAAUUUUUAAAAUAUAGCAAAGAAAUAAACAAGAAAUUACCACGGUUAAUACGACAUCCAGCCAACAUGUUUUGAAACAAAAUUGCAGUCCCACUUCCCUUCCAAUGAGAUGAAUAAGUUUUCUUAAUUUACGUCACAUCAAUACAUCUAUCCACAUCAAAUAAAUUAACCUAAAACUCAAUUAACUGCCUUUCCAGUUGCAAGUUCCACUUAUAUUUAGUGGUAUUGUCUAUAAUUUACUUGUUCACUAUCUUUAUAAUUCCCUUUUUUGUCCUCCCUAGCUUUUUCAGAUUUAUUCCCAUUUUUUAUCAGUAACCUUUUCAACAUCAUUCUUUUGCUAUCUUUUUUCUUCCUUUGUUGUAUCUUCAGAUAAAAUUUCUUCUUCCUUAACAUCUACUAUUACUUGAAGAAGUUCCAAUGGAGUAGCUGCUGGGUCCAACUCCCGACAACCUUUUGGAGCAUUUGGACCUUCUUGACCUGUAAGAAAGUAUGAGGGAACAUGAUGGGAGAAUCGAAACAUCUCUUCCUUCGGAAUACACCUGAUUUCUCCAGGGUCCAAAUGCUGGUGGAAAACUGUCUUGAAACCCGCAACCUUAACUAGUGGAGCAACCGUUACACCUAGUUCUUCACUGUAAUCUUCUAGUACUUCUACCAUGUCAUACUUGUGUAUCACCUCAUCUUCUGUCAGUUCAUUCCAUUCAGGUGACCAAUUCCGAUACAAAGCCCAAACAUCUCCCUUCUUAGGGUAUAUGCAAAUUACCCCACGACUACCUUUUGUCCACUUGACCUUGUGUGAAAAGGAAUUAAGUGCACUGUAAACCUCAUAUCUACCUACUCUGAAUUCACCACAGGUUUUUGAGAAGCCAGAACCAACCCAAUUUAGUGGGCCAAGUUCACUGUUAGUCUUUGAAUUAAGCCAACUGAUCCUCAUUUUAAACGGAUUCAGGGAGAUUAUUUUAUGGACCAUUGCAUAGUAUCGGGGCAUCCCAUCAUCACCAUCAUAUGCAGCCCAUACCUGGUUUUCUCCAAAACACUGUUCAGUUCGAUCCUUGUCAAAAUUAUGAAAAUCUGGAUCUGGGACAUCUAUUGACAUUGUUUCCAGAGUGUCUAAAUCUGCUUCUUCACCAGAAGACCCAGAAGAACACUUGAUGCCACGUAUUCCAUCAUCUGUAUCCAGUUGCUGAGCAGACUUAUUUUGUUCACACAUUUCAGGCUUUUCCUGAGAUUUUUCUCCUCCAUCAUUUUCUUUCAUAUUACUCUUCUCAUUUUUUACAGAAGAUUUAGUUACUGUAGCUGAGUUCCAUUCAUUUAGUUUUUGACGAAUUUCUGUCCUAGCUUUCUCCAUCAGUAGGGCUUGAAUUCCAAACUGGGAUACAUCCCUUGUGCCAUAGGGCUCACUAAUUCCACUGACCCUACCUGUUUCAAAAUUACCCUUCUUAGAAUAAGAUAAAUCAGAUGUGCUAGCUCCUCCUGCACCCAUUUGAUUCGCAGCAUUGCUUCCAUAGUUGCUUGGACCAACAUCUUCCAUGCUUCUUCUUCUCUUAGUAGAAUUAGAAUAUCCACUAGAGGAUACACCCCCUGUCCUUUUAAAGACAUGAUUCUUUCGCUUCAGGGCCUCCUCUCUUUUUGUGGCUGCCUGAGCUUCCUCACGCUCUCUCUUCACUUUUUCAUAUGCCUGCUGAACCACACUAGCAGCUUGAGCAACAGAUGAGGCACCACCUGCUCUAGAGAAUGGACCCCACUGGAAGUUGGUCUGACUAUAUGAGUCUGGUCUGCCAGGUCCUGCAUUUGGAGGGGCCACAUUGUUGCUUGCAGAAUUUGAUGUGUUUUUACUUGCAGCUUGAUGACUUGAGCUCUGGCGCUGCUGAGAAAAAUUCCAUGUGGUGGAAGUUUUAGAACCAUUUGAAGGUGGAGGAGCUGUUUCAACAGCCAAAAAUGGCUCAUGGCAAUUAGGACACAGGAGAUUAUGAUUAAGAUAAACUCUAAGAUACUCAUAUUGCAUCUUGCAUCUAUGACAUACAGUCCAAAAGGUAUUUGGCUUUGACUUAUGAGAUGCUGGAGUUGAAGAAUGACCAGUACGGGGAGUACUCUUGUGUGCCUUCACACUUGAUUUGGCAAAAUUGUAAAAACCACCAGACCCUGCUGUUGUUGAUGGACCCCCAGCAGGGUUUGAAACCCUUUGAGAUACUUUAGCAUUUUUCCUCUUUUGGUCAUGUGCCACUCUCUUAGACUUGUCAGACAAUAAACUCCAUGCCUCAGAAAUAAGCUUGAAUGCACCAUCAGCUCCUAUAGACUUGUUUUUGUCAGGGUGAAGCAUCAGAGCAAGUUUCCUAUACUGUUUCCGAACAUUCUCAUCAUCAGCUUUUGGAUUCACACCAAGGAUCCCAUACCAAUCUUCUUCACCAUUUAUUUUGUUCUCAGCUGAACUAUACACAUCAAGUGUUGCUACCAUCUGCGGAACACCCUCGAGCCCAGGAUACAAGUUUUGAGCCUUCAAAGCAAAUCUCUUUGCUCCUGCAAGGUCCUUUGCCAAAAAUUUCUUCUCAGCAAUCUCUUUUGCCUUGGCAGCCUCAUCUUUAUUGCAUUCCAUUUUCCACACUCCCAACUCUAGUACUACGUCCUUCUCCUACUCCCCCCCCUCCUCCUGCUCCUACUCCUCUCCUGCUCCUUAUAUUUCCUAUAAUUCCUUUUCCAAUAACUGUUACAAAGAUUGCAGCAGUAAAUUCAACAGACACAACUACCACAUUGUUCCAUUGUACAAAUUCACAGUUUCAUCAUGCUUCAAAAAAGUAGCUAUCCUCAAAAGUUCAAGCACCUCUUUUCAAAAUGUUCCUCAUAAACCCUUGACCUUCCUGCCUUCAAGACAACUCUGUGUGGUCCAAACAUGGGACAAACACUUUGUUUCAAUCAAUCAGUAUGGAUAAUAAAAUUAAUCCACAUCAUAAUUGAGCUAAAAACACUGAAAAGGUGACAUCAUGACAUUACAAGAGAGCAAUGUUAUGCCCAAAGCAUUGGCAUAAAUCUUGAAUAGUCUUGUCAAAUGUUAUCAUACAAUAGAGAAUAAGGGUGACCCAGUGCACAUCGCAUCCUGCACUUGUGGACUGUGGGAAAGGUUGAAGUACGCAGCCCUAUCCCUACUUUGAACUCGAAUAUUGACCUCCAAAUUACAAAUGGAGAAACUUUACCAAUAUACCAAACAUCCCUUGUCAUCAUACAAUGGAGAGGACUACGAGACAACAACAUCAACAACAACUAAACCUAAUCCCAAACUAGUUGGAUUGUCAUCAUACAAUAGA